This 406-nucleotide ribosomal RNA is filed under the name uncultured bacterium. Its description in RNAcentral is "partial 16S ribosomal RNA". It matches the Rfam family "Bacterial small subunit ribosomal RNA", at positions 30 to 526 of the family's 1533-position model. The record is from RNAcentral.
AUUGAACGCUGGCGGCAGGCCUAACACAUGCAAGUCGAACGAGUGGCGGACGGGUGAGUAAUGUCUGGGAAACUGCCCGAUGGAGGGGGAUAACUACUGGAAACGGUAGCUAAUACCGCAUACCAUCGGAUGUGCCCAGAUGGGAUUAGCUAGUAGGUUGGGUAACGGCUCACCUAGGCGACGAUCCCUAGCUGGUCUGAGAGGAUGACCAGCCACAAUUGGACUGAGACAAGGUCCAGACCCCUAAGGGAGGCAGCAGGGGGGAAUAUUGCAAAAAGGGGGGAAGCCUGAUGCAGCCAUGCCGGGUGUAUGAAGAAGGGCUUCGGGUUGUAAAGUACUUUCAGCGAGGAGGCGUUACUCGCAGAAGAAGCACCGGCUAACUCCGUGCCAGCAGCCGCGGUAAUUC